This 628-nucleotide ribosomal RNA is filed under the name Pediococcus pentosaceus. RNAcentral's name for it is "bacterial SSU rRNA". It matches the Rfam family "Bacterial small subunit ribosomal RNA", at positions 63 to 667 of the family's 1533-position model. Lineage: Bacteria; Bacillati; Bacillota; Bacilli; Lactobacillales; Lactobacillaceae. The record is from RNAcentral.
AUUAUGACGUACUUGUACUGAUUGAGAUUUUAACACGAAGUGAGUGGCGAACGGGUGAGUAACACGUGGGUAACCUGCCCAGAAGUAGGGGAUAACACCUGGAAACAGAUGCUAAUACCGUAUAACAGAGAAAACCGCAUGGUUUUCUUUUAAAAGAUGGCUCUGCUAUCACUUCUGGAUGGACCCGCGGCGUAUUAGCUAGUUGGUGAGGUAAAGGCUCACCAAGGCAGUGAUACGUAGCCGACCUGAGAGGGUAAUCGGCCACAUUGGGACUGAGACACGGCCCAGACUCCUACGGGAGGCAGCAGUAGGGAAUCUUCCACAAUGGACGCAAGUCUGAUGGAGCAACGCCGCGUGAGUGAAGAAGGGUUUCGGCUCGUAAAGCUCUGUUGUUAAAGAAGAACGUGGGUAAGAGUAACUGUUUACCCAGUGACGGUAUUUAACCAGAAAGCCACGGCUAACUACGUGCCAGCAGCCGCGGUAAUACGUAGGUGGCAAGCGUUAUCCGGAUUUAUUGGGCGUAAAGCGAGCGCAGGCGGUCUUUUAAGUCUAAUGUGAAAGCCUUCGGCUCAACCGAAGAAGUGCAUUGGAAACUGGGAGACUUGAGUGCAGAAGAGGACAGUGGAAC